UACGUAGGGUGCAAGCGUUAAUCGGAAUUACUGGGCGUAAAGCGUGCGCAGGCGGCUUUGCAAGUCAGAUGUGAAAUCCCCGGGCUUAACCUGGGAACUGCAUUUGUGACUGCAUGGCUGGAGUGCGGCAGAGGGAGAUGGAAUUCCGCGUGUAGCAGUGAAAUGCGUAGAUAUGCGGAGGAACACCGAUGGCGAAGGCAAUCCCCUGGGCCUGCACUGACGCUCAGGCACGAAAGCGUGGGGAGCAAACAGG
This 253-nucleotide ribosomal RNA is filed under the name uncultured bacterium. RNAcentral's name for it is "partial 16S ribosomal RNA". It matches the Rfam family "Bacterial small subunit ribosomal RNA", at positions 524 to 776 of the family's 1533-position model. The record is from RNAcentral.